UACGUAGGGUGCAAGCGUUGUCCGGAAUCACUGGGUGUAAAGGGUGUGUAGGCGGAGCUGUAAGUCAGGGGUGAAAGCCCACAGCUCAACUGUGGAACUGCCUUUGAUACUGCCGUUCUUGAGUCACGGAGGGGUCACUGGAAUUCGUGGUGUAGCGGUGAAAUGCGUAGAUAUCACGAGGAACACCGGAGGUGUAGACGGGUGACUGGACGAAGACUGACGCUGAGGCACGAAAGCGUGGGGAGCAAACAGG
This 253-nucleotide unclassified non-coding RNA is filed under the name uncultured Bacteroidota bacterium. RNAcentral describes it as "uncultured Bacteroidetes bacterium contains 16S-23S intergenic spacer region". It matches the Rfam family "Bacterial small subunit ribosomal RNA", at positions 524 to 776 of the family's 1533-position model. Lineage: Bacteria; Pseudomonadati; Bacteroidota. The record is from RNAcentral.